Molecule: long non-coding RNA, 292 nt
Filed under: Setaria italica (foxtail millet)
Lineage: Eukaryota; Viridiplantae; Streptophyta; Magnoliopsida; Poales; Poaceae
Description: long non-coding RNA (SITA_LNC006213)
Source: RNAcentral
UUUAGAUACACUGGGAUGGCGCUUAGAAAUGCCUUCGAGUCAUCGAAGCCUGCAGGACACACGGAUUGGGUUGGUGGUGGUGGUGGUGGGGGAGUCGGUGGUGGUGGUGGCGGGGGAGUCGGUGGUGGGGGAGUUAGGGUGGGCAUGGGAGCAGGCUUUGGGACAGGUGUUGGUGGUGGCGGGGGAGUCGGUGGUGGUGGUGGCGGGGGAGUCGCUGGUGGGGGAGUUAGGGUGGACAUGGGAGCAGGCUUUGGGAUAGGUGUUGGUGCAGGCGUCGGGACCGGUGUCGGAG